CCACUACCAACCCCAAAGUUCUCUCUCAUCUCAAAUAGCAACAUCAUCAAACAUACCUGUGUCCAAGCAAGAUAUAUUCCCUGGGUUUCUAUGUCUUGAAACCUAGAAUGCCCUUAAAUAGCUGCUCGCGACUACUAGCAACCAUCUUCUAAGACUUGGCUCUCAUUCUACCUUUUCAGCAAGCCCUUCCUGUGACCAUGUUCUUUGAGUGGGUUUUAAGCAUCCAGUCCUCGCCCAAGUCAUUCCAGAAAAUGAAGUCAACAUUAUCAUGGCAUACAAGAAAACAACUACUUGUCUGAGUACAGUGGAUGAAAUGUGCACUGUGAGCCGCUGCAUGCAUGGAUACCACGCAGGAGAAAACAGCAACUACCUGUGAAGUAGACCCAUGGCUUACUUCUGUAAAAUGUCCAUUAUGGGUGGUUUGAUCUGUUUGCGUUGCUAUAAUAAAC
Molecule: long non-coding RNA, 449 nt
Filed under: Mus spicilegus (steppe mouse)
Lineage: Eukaryota; Metazoa; Chordata; Mammalia; Rodentia; Muridae
Description: lncRNA (ENSMSIG00000013871.1)
Source: RNAcentral